UACGAAGGGGGCUAGCGUUGUUCGGAAUUACUGGGCGUAAAGCGCACGUAGGCUGACUUUUAAGUCAGGGGUGAAAUCCCGGGGCUCAACCUCGGAACUGCCUUUGAUACUGGAAGUCUUGAGUCCGAGAGAGGUGAGUGGAACUCCGAGUGUAGAGGUGAAAUUCGUAGAUAUUCGGAAGAACACCAGUGGCGAAGGCGGCUCACUGGCUCGGUACUGACGCUGAGGUG
RNAcentral lists this ribosomal RNA (230 nucleotides) under uncultured microorganism. RNAcentral's name for it is "partial 16S ribosomal RNA". It matches the Rfam family "Bacterial small subunit ribosomal RNA", at positions 524 to 753 of the family's 1533-position model. The record is from RNAcentral.